AAAACCUGUAAAUAUUAUACUUGACUGUGAAGUGUACCCCUAGUUAAGACACCAUGUUUCCAUAGUUUCCUUUGAAAUUAUUCUCACCUUUCUGAUUUCCUUUGGCCUCAUUUUAUUGCCUGAUGUUGGACAAAAAGAGAAAACAUAAAUGAAGUAGAAAAGAGGGUUGAUUGAGUGAAUAACUCAAAUAGCAUUAACCUUUAGAUACCUUUGUUUUCAUUGUCACUGGUCUGAGUCAAAUAUCUGUGCAAAAAAUAAAAAUCUAGAUAAAACUGAGCACAUACAAGAAAGACCCAAACAGGCAGUGACCUGCCUUCUACAGGGCCUGUGAAAAAAGAUAAAUUUACAUCAAUAGAUGUGUAUAGACAUUAGGAGCCUCUACAGAGCAUGAUGGAAAUAGACAUUUGCUUUUCUGGUUCAGUUUGUCUUUCAGAAAACCAGAUUCUACCAUUUUUGUUGGGUCUGAAUAACACUCGACUCAUAUCCAGGGAUAUGCUAGUUGAUUGUCACUAUCACGUGAGAUCUUUGCCUGUGAAUAGGGUACCCACGUGUGGCCUCAAGAACCCAGAAAAAUAACCAUAUGGUCCCAGGGUAUUAGACAUGAGAAGGGGCUUGGACCAGAUGACCUCCAGAGGUCCCUUCCUACCCCAACCAUUCUGUGGUUCCAGACUGACUUUAAAACAUGUGUAUCACAUGUCUAUAUAAAUAUACAUACAUGUGUAUGUAUAGCUACAUGUUUACGUAUAUAUAUGAAACCCUACAUUUUCUUCAGGAAAAUUAUGAAGAAAAUAAAUGCAAUAACCAGCAACAUGCGGGGGUCACAGGAGUUUGAGCAUCGGUUGCAUCAUAAGAUAAUCAUUCACAUGUCCAUAGGACUUGUUCCUUCUGUCAAAUUGCAGAAGGUUUAAUAAAGAAAUGUUUCCUGCAAUUGCUUACUGCUUGGCUUAGUGUGCUCACUUGGAUAUUUAACCAUGUUUUAUUUUACUUCAUGCUAGCCAAAGCAGUGAGUGAACACUUGAUGUAAGACUCAAAGCAAAUCCCUCCUAGUUACACCAUGUGGAAGGAAGAAGAGAUUCUUUACCAGCUUUCUUUGAAGAUGCUCAUCGGCUGAUGAUAUGUUCUUCUGGAAAUACACUCAGAGAAUAAUAGGGGGAUUUUCUAUGAAAAUGAAGAGAUUUGAAAAUCAUUUUAUUUUUACUUCUGUUUAGUUCAGACUUUUUAUAUGAAUAAAUGGCACUUUUAUUAAACUGUAAAAUACUGACAAUGUAUUUUUAGAACAAUGUAUUUUAGAUUUUUUUUUUUUUUUUUAAAUCAAGGGCUGAAUUCAUUUUAGGAGAAACUACUUGCAUAGAUGUUAAAAGAUGCUGUUACUUCCCCCUCAGGCUCAGAUGCACAAUGUAAAGUUUCAUGAAAAAAAAAAAAAAGAAAA
RNAcentral lists this long non-coding RNA (1429 nucleotides) under Strigops habroptila (Kakapo). Its description in RNAcentral is "lncRNA (ENSSHBG00005013151.1)". Lineage: Eukaryota; Metazoa; Chordata; Aves; Psittaciformes; Psittacidae. The record is from RNAcentral.